AGGGCGUGGUGCGCGGCGCGCCGCGCCGCGCCAGACUUUGAUUCUGGCUCAGGAUAAACGCUGGCGGCGUGCGUAACACAUGCAAGUCGAACGAGAAUGUACUGACGGAUCCUUAGGGUGAAGAUAGUACAGGACAGUGGCGGAUGGGUGAGUAACGCGUAAGAAACUUGCCUUUCACACCGGGAUAGCAGCUGGAAACGGCUAUUAAUACCGGAUGACACUUUUUCCCCGCAUGAGGAAGAGGUUAAAGAAUUUCGGUGAAAGAUGGUCUUGCGUCUGAUUAGCUAGUUGGUGGGGCAACGGCCUACCAAGGCGACGAUCAGUAGCCGGCCUGAGAGGGUGUACGGCCACAUUGGGACUGAGACACGGCCCAAACUCCUACGGGAGGCAGCAGUGGAGAAUUUUGCACAAUGGAGGAAACUCUGAUGCAGCGACGCCGCGUGAACGAAGAAGGUCUUCGGAUUGUAAAGUUCUGUCCUGGGUGAAGAUAAUGACGGUAACUCAGGAGGAAGCCCCGGCUGACUACGUGCCAGCAGCCGCGGUAAUACGUAGGGGGCGAGCGUUGUUCGGAAUUAUUGGGCGUAAAGGGUACGUAGGCGGUUUGUUAAGUUUGGCGUUAAAUCACGGGGCUCAACCCCGUUCAGCGUUGAAAACUGGCAAACUUGAGUAGUAGAGGGAACAGUGGAAUUCCUAGUGUAGCGGUGAAAUGCGUAGAGAUUANGAAGAAUACCGGUGGCGAAGGCGACUGUCUGGAUACAUACUGACGCUCAGGUACGAAAGCGUGGGGAGCAAACAGGAUUAGAUACCCUGGUAGUCCACGCCCUAAACGAUGAGUGCUAGGUGUCGGGUGUCAAAGCCCGGUGCCGCCGUUAACACAUUAAGCACUCCGCCUGGGGAGUACGCACGCAAGUGUGCAACUCAAAGGAAUUGACGG
Molecule: ribosomal RNA, 934 nt
Filed under: uncultured bacterium
Lineage: Bacteria
Description: bacterial SSU rRNA
Rfam family: Bacterial small subunit ribosomal RNA
Source: RNAcentral